AGCCAAGUCGCUAGUAGAACUUCAUGCACAAAAUCGCCUAUCCAUUUUGCUCUCAGAACAAUGAGAAUUAUGACCCUCUUUCUAUAAUAACCGGGUGAAGGGUUUAUAUAUAAAUGAAGAAAACAAGUCUGGGUAACGGGUCACGGGUUAUUUAGUAAUGAAUGAUUGGAUGGGGUUAAUAAUUUUCACCGUGUCAUUUUUAAAUAAAGUUUGAUUGAAAGAAAAAUGUAAUCACAU
This 237-nucleotide long non-coding RNA is filed under the name Nicotiana benthamiana. Its description in RNAcentral is "long non-coding RNA (NBEN_LNC027105)". The record is from RNAcentral. Lineage: Eukaryota; Viridiplantae; Streptophyta; Magnoliopsida; Solanales; Solanaceae.